This 312-nucleotide ribosomal RNA is filed under the name Luteimonas sp. TJ7. RNAcentral describes it as "bacterial SSU rRNA". It matches the Rfam family "Bacterial small subunit ribosomal RNA", at positions 468 to 779 of the family's 1533-position model. Lineage: Bacteria; Pseudomonadati; Pseudomonadota; Gammaproteobacteria; Lysobacterales; Lysobacteraceae. The record is from RNAcentral.
UCUCACGGUACCGAAAGAAUAAGCACCGGCUAACUUCGUGCCAGCAGCCCCGGUAAUACGAAGGGUGCAAGCGUUACUCGGAAUUACUGGGCGUAAAGCGUGCGUAGGUGGUUCGUUAAGUCCGAUGUGAAAGCCCUGGGCUCAACCUGGGAAUGGCAUUGGAUACUGGCGGGCUAGAGUGCGGUAGAGGAUAGUGGAAUUCCUGGUGUAGCAGUGAAAUGCGUAGAGAUCAGGAGGAACAUCCGUGGCGAAGGCGACUGUCUGGACCAGCACUGACACUGAGGCACGAAAGCGUGGGGAGCAAACAGGAUU